Long non-coding RNA from Suricata suricatta (meerkat), 380 nucleotides. RefSeq lists it as uncharacterized. The transcript has 4 exons. Lineage: Eukaryota; Metazoa; Chordata; Mammalia; Carnivora; Herpestidae. The record is from RefSeq and is a predicted model, not a curated record.
AGCAGAGAAGUGAUGUGAAUGAGAUCAGUGGCUACCGUGCGGGGAGUGGAGGGGACAAGACGAGUUGGGAAGGUGGGGCUCCUGAGGAAGGCCAAAUCAGCGCAUUCACCCCAGCAUUUAGGACCCUGCUCUGCCACUACACUAAUUGUGCGGCUUGAGCACCUACUCUGUGCCAGACACCCGGCCUCUUGUAGGCUCUGUGGGGCGGACACAUCAGUUUCCAGGCCAGGACAGCCUUCGGAGCUCUGGAGAGUCAUUCUGGCAGCGGCCUCUUCUCUGGGGCUCAGAACAGGCUGUGUGGAGAUGCUGUGUCUGGCCGCGGAGAGUGAAUGAAUCAAAGUUCUGUGGUUAAAAAUAAAAACACUGAAGUAAAACCAAAA